UUUCCAAUUAGGGUCAGCUGCAUCUAACUAGCAGGCUGUAAAAGCCAGCCCUGCCUGAAAGCUAGUAUCUGGUCAUUUUGCCUGUUUGGUGUUUCCUGACGGAUCUUUGCUACACUACUGACUGAUUUCCUGGACUCUGACCUCUGCCUGCUUUACUGACUACGUUACUCCUCUGCCAGCCCUGACUUGUGCUUCUCGUCUGAUCCUGCCUUUGGAUUACCCCUUUAUCUGUACUGUGUUUUUGGAUUUUGUCUCCUCCUUGUGCCAUCUCCUGCAACUGGGCUCCAACUCCUGGUAAACUGUUCCAUAAGUCCCCAGGUGACUGUUACACC
Pelobates cultripes (western spadefoot toad) is the source of this 332-nucleotide non-coding RNA. The record is from the annotation of a GenBank genome assembly. Lineage: Eukaryota; Metazoa; Chordata; Amphibia; Anura; Pelobatidae.